UCCGUAGACACGGGGUGCUCCGCACACGAGCGGGAGCUGAGAUCACACCCGUCGAACCUGAUCAGGUAAUGCUGACGAAGGGAUGUCACGGCAUGACCAU
Molecule: non-coding RNA, 100 nt
Filed under: Rhodococcus sp. (in: high G+C Gram-positive bacteria)
Lineage: Bacteria; Bacillati; Actinomycetota; Actinomycetes; Mycobacteriales; Nocardiaceae
Description: Rhodococcus sp. TPP sequence
Rfam family: TPP riboswitch aptamer (THI element)
About the family: Vitamin B(1) in its active form thiamin pyrophosphate (TPP) is an essential coenzyme that is synthesised by coupling of pyrimidine and thiazole moieties in bacteria. The previously detected thiamin-regulatory element, thi box was extended, resulting in a new, highly conserved RNA secondary structure, the THI element, which is widely distributed in eubacteria and also occurs in some archaea.
Source: RNAcentral